This 514-nucleotide ribosomal RNA is filed under the name uncultured bacterium. RNAcentral's name for it is "bacterial SSU rRNA". It matches the Rfam family "Bacterial small subunit ribosomal RNA", at positions 8 to 518 of the family's 1533-position model. The record is from RNAcentral.
AGAGUUUGAUCCGGCUCAGGAUGAACGCUAGCUACAGGCUUAACACAUGCAAGUCGAGGGGCAUCGCGGGGUAGCAAUACCCUGGCGGCGACCGGCGCACGGGUGAGUAACACGUAUCCAACCUGCCUUCAGCUCGGGGAUAGCCCUCUGAAAGGAGGAUUAAUACCCGAUGUGUUUGGUAUGGGACAUCCCAUUCCAAAUAAAGAUUUAUCGGCUGAUGAUGGGGAUGCGUAUGAUUAGCUUGUUGGCGGGUAACGGCCCACAAGGCGACGAUCAUUAGGGGUCUGAGAGGAAGGUCCCCCACAUAGGAACUGAGACACGGUCCUAACUCCUACGGGAGGCAGCAGUGAGGAAUAUUGGUCAAUGGCCGUAAGGCUGAACCAGCCAAGUAGCGUGAAGGAAUGACUGCCCUACGGGUUGUAAACUUCUUUUACGGGAGGAUAAAGUGUGUCACGUGUGGCAUAUUGCAGGUAUCCCGUGAAUAAGCAUCGGCUAAUUCCGUGCCAGCAGCCGC